RNAcentral lists this ribosomal RNA (109 nucleotides) under Flavobacteriales bacterium. Lineage: Bacteria; Pseudomonadati; Bacteroidota; Flavobacteriia; Flavobacteriales. The record is from RNAcentral.
UAAGGUGGUUAUAGCGAUAGGUCUCACCUCUUCCCAUUCCGAACAGAGAAGUUAAGCCUAUCAGCGCAGAUGGUACUACGUUUAGUGGGAGAGUAUGUCGCCGCCUUUA